RNAcentral lists this ribosomal RNA (479 nucleotides) under uncultured bacterium. Its description in RNAcentral is "bacterial SSU rRNA". It matches the Rfam family "Bacterial small subunit ribosomal RNA", at positions 32 to 507 of the family's 1533-position model. The record is from RNAcentral.
GACAACGCUGGCGGCGUGCUUAACACAUGCAAGUCGAACGGAGCUUGAUUUGGAAGUCCUUCGGGGGCGGAAGCUUCAAGCUUAGUGGCGGACGGGUGAGUAACACGUGAGUAACCUGCCCUUCAGAGGGGGAUAACAUACCGAAAGGUAUGCUAAUACCGCAUAACGUAUACUUAAGGCAUCUUAAGAAUACCAAAGAUUUAUCGCUGAAGGAUGGACUCGCGGCCGAUUAGGUAGUUGGUGAGGUAACGGCCCACCAAGCCGACGAUCGGUAGCCGGACUGAGAGGUUGGCCGGCCACAUUGGGACUGAGACACGGCCCAGACUCCUACGGGAGGCAGCAGUGGGGAAUAUUGCGCAAUGGGGGAAACCCUGACGCAGCGACGCCGCGUGAAGGAUGAAGGUUUUCGGAUCGUAAACUUAUGUCUUCAGGGACGAGAAAGGACGGUACCUGAGGAGGAAGCCACGGCUAACUACGUG